GGGGAUUUAGCUCAGUGGUAGAGCGCUUGCAUAGCAAGUGCAAGGCCCUGGGUUCGGUCCCCAGCUCCG
Molecule: non-coding RNA, 69 nt
Organism: Rattus norvegicus (Norway rat)
Lineage: Eukaryota; Metazoa; Chordata; Mammalia; Rodentia; Muridae
Source: Rfam